UUUUUCAUUGCCUCCUCGCUGCGGAAAAGAUAGCAGCAUCAUUGUUGUGUGUUCCCUUUCAUCCUCAUUCCCCCGCUAACAAUUUUCGGUUGUGUCGUCAACAGGCAACGAUCACGUGAAUCCAGAGAG
Non-coding RNA from Caenorhabditis elegans, 129 nucleotides. The record is from Ensembl. Lineage: Eukaryota; Metazoa; Nematoda; Chromadorea; Rhabditida; Rhabditidae.